Molecule: ribosomal RNA, 497 nt
Filed under: uncultured bacterium
Lineage: Bacteria
Description: partial 16S ribosomal RNA
Rfam family: Bacterial small subunit ribosomal RNA
Source: RNAcentral
GAUGAACGCUGGCGGCGUGCCUAAUACAUGCAAGUCGAGCGAACAGACGAGGAGCUUGCUCCUCUGACGUUAGCGGCGGACGGGUGAGUAACACGUGGAUAACCUACCUAUAAGACUGGGAUAACUUCGGGAAACCGGAGCUAAUACCGGAUAAUAUAUUGAACCGCAUGGUUCAAUAGUGAAAGACGGUUUUGCUGUCACUUAUAGAUGGAUCCGCGCCGCAUUAGCUAGUUGGUAAGGUAACGGCUUACCAAAGCGACGAUGCGUAGCCGACCUGAGAGGGUGAUCGGCCACACUGGAACUGAGACACGGUCCAGACUCCUACGGGAGGCAGCAGUAGGGAAUCUUCCGCAAUGGGCGAAAGCUUGACGGAGCAACGCCGCGUGAGUGAUGAAGGUCUUCGGAUCGUAAAACUCUGUUAUUAGGGAAGAACAAAUGUGUAAGUAACUAUGCACGUCUUGACGGUACCUAAUCAGAAAGCCACGGCUAACUACGUG